RNAcentral lists this ribosomal RNA (242 nucleotides) under uncultured bacterium. RNAcentral describes it as "partial 16S ribosomal RNA". It matches the Rfam family "Bacterial small subunit ribosomal RNA", at positions 265 to 504 of the family's 1533-position model. The record is from RNAcentral.
CCACCAAGCCUUCGAUGGAUAGGGGUUCUGAGAGGAAGGUCCCCCACAUUGGAACUGAGACACGGUCCAAACUCCUACGGGAGGCAGCAGUGAGGAAUAUUGGUCAAUGGACGAGAGUCUGAACCAGCCAAGUAGCGUGAAGGAUGACUGCCCUAUGGGUUGUAAACUUCUUUUAUACGGGAAUAAAGUGAGGCACGUGUGCCUUUUUGUAUGUACCGUAUGAAUAAGGAUCGGCUAACUCC